This 308-nucleotide ribosomal RNA is filed under the name uncultured bacterium. RNAcentral describes it as "partial 16S ribosomal RNA". It matches the Rfam family "Bacterial small subunit ribosomal RNA", at positions 505 to 809 of the family's 1533-position model. The record is from RNAcentral.
GAGACAGCAGCCGCCACGGUAAUACGGAGGGUGCAAGCGUUAUCCGGAUUUAUUGGGUUUAAAGGGUCCGUAGGCGGAUCUGUAAGUCAGUGGUGAAAUCUCACAGCUUAACUGUGAAACUGCCAUUGAUACUGCAGGUCUUGAGUAAAUUUGAAGUGGCUGGAAUAAGUAGUGUAGCGGUGAAAUGCAUAGAUAUUACUUAGAACACCAAUUGCGAAGGCAGGUCACUAAGAUUUAACUGACGCUGAUGGACGAAAGCGUGGGGAGCGAACAGGAUUAGAUACCCGCGUAGUCCCUGUCUCUUAUAA